Molecule: ribosomal RNA, 261 nt
Filed under: uncultured bacterium
Lineage: Bacteria
Description: partial small subunit ribosomal RNA
Rfam family: Bacterial small subunit ribosomal RNA
Source: RNAcentral
AGGAUGAACGCUGGCGGCGUGCUUAACACAUGCAAGUCGAACGGUGAAGUGAGGAGCUUGCUCCUUGCGGAUCAGUGGCGAACGGGUGAGUAACACGUGAGUAACCUGCCCUUGACUCUGGGAUAAGCGUUGGAAACGACGUCUAAUACCGGAUACGACCUCCGAAGGCAUCUUGUGGAGGUGGAAAGAUUUCGGCAAGGAUGGACUCGCGGCCUAUCAGCUAGUUGGUGAGGUAAUGGCCCACCAAGGCGACGACGGGUA